Molecule: ribosomal RNA, 1963 nt
Filed under: Shigella flexneri
Lineage: Bacteria; Pseudomonadati; Pseudomonadota; Gammaproteobacteria; Enterobacterales; Enterobacteriaceae
Description: partial 23S ribosomal RNA
Rfam family: Bacterial large subunit ribosomal RNA
Source: RNAcentral
GUUAAGCGACUAAGCGUACACGGUGGAUGCCCUGGCAGUCAGAGGCGAUGAAGGACGUGCUAAUCUGCGAUAAGCGUCGGUAAGGUGAUAUGAACCGUUAUAACCGGCGAUUUCCGAAUGGGGAAACCCAGUGUGAUUCGUCACACUAUCAUUAACUGAAUCCAUAGGUUAAUGAGGCGAACCGGGGGAACUGAAACAUCUAAGUACCCCGAGGAAAAGAAAUCAACCGAGAUUCCCCCAGUAGCGGCGAGCGAACGGGGAGCAGCCCAGAGCCUGAAUCAGUGUGUGUGUUAGUGGAAGCGUCUGGAAAGGCGUGCGAUACAGGGUGACAGCCCCGUACACAAAAAUGCACAUACUGUGAGCUCGAUGAGUAGGGCGGGACACGUGGUAUCCUGUCUGAAUAUGGGGGGACCAUCCUCCAAGGCUAAAUACUCCUGACUGACCGAUAGUGAACCAGUACCGUGAGGGAAAGGCGAAAAGAACCCCGGCGAGGGGAGUGAAAAAGAACCUGAAACCGUGUACGUACAAGCAGUGGGAGCACGCUUAGGCGUGUGACUGCGUACCUUUUGUAUAAUGGGUCAGCGACUUAUAUUCUGUAGCAAGGUUAACCGAAUAGGGGAGCCGAAGGGAAACCGAGUCUUAACUGGGCGUUAAGUUGCAGGGUAUAGACCCGAAACCCGGUGAUCUAGCCAUGGGCAGGUUGAAGGUUGGGUAACACUAACUGGAGGACCGAACCGACUAAUGUUGAAAAAUUAGCGGAUGACUUGUGGCUGGGGGUGAAAGGCCAAUCAAACCGGGAGAUAGCUGGUUCUCCCCGAAAGCUAUUUAGGUAGCGCCUCGUGAAUUCAUCUCCGGGGGUAGAGCACUGUUUCGGCAAGGGGGUCAUCCCGACUUACCAACCCGAUGCAAACUGCGAAUACCGGAGAAUGUUAUCACGGGAGACACACGGCGGGUGCUAACGUCCGUCGUGAAGAGGGAAACAACCCAGACCGCCAGCUAAGGUCCCAAAGUCAUGGUUAAGUGGGAAACGAUGUGGGAAGGCCCAGACAGCCAGGAUGUUGGCUUAGAAGCAGCCAUCAUUUAAAGAAAGCGUAAUAGCUCACUGGUCGAGUCGGCCUGCGCGGAAGAUGUAACGGGGCUAAACCAUGCACCGAAGCUGCGGCAGCGACGCUUAUGCGUUGUUGGGUAGGGGAGCGUUCUGUAAGCCUGUGAAGGUGUACUGUGAGGUAUGCUGGAGGUAUCAGAAGUGCGAAUGCUGACAUAAGUAACGAUAAAGCGGGUGAAAAGCCCGCUCGCCGGAAGACCAAGGGUUCCUGUCCAACGUUAAUCGGGGCAGGGUGAGUCGACCCCUAAGGCGAGGCCGAAAGGCGUAGUCGAUGGGAAACAGGUUAAUAUUCCUGUACUUGGUGUUACUGCGAAGGGGGGACGGAGAAGGCUAUGUUGGCCGGGCGACGGUUGUCCCGGUUUAAGCGUGUAGGCUGGUUUUCCAGGCAAAUCCGGAAAAUCAAGGCCGAGGCGUGAUGACGAGGCACUACGGUGCUGAAGCAACAAAUGCCCUGCUUCCAGGAAAAGCCUCUAAGCAUCAGGUAACAUCAAAUCGUACCCCAAACCGACACAGGUGGUCAGGUAGAGAAUACCAAGGCGCUUGAGAGAACUCGGGUGAAGGAACUAGGCAAAAUGGUGCCGUAACUUCGGGAGAAGGCACGCUGAUACGUAGGUGAAGCGACUUGCUCGUGGAGCUGAAAUCAGUCGAAGAUACCAGCUGGCUGCAACUGUUUAUUAAAAACACAGCACUGUGCAAACACGAAAGUGGACGUAUACGGUGUGACGCCUGCCCGGUGCCGGAAGGUUAAUUGAUGGGGUUAGCGCAAGCGAAGCUCUUGAUCGAAGCCCCGGUAAACGGCGGCCGUAACUAUAACGGUCCUAAGGUAGCGAAAUUCCUUGUCGGGUAAGUUCCGACCUG